AUCCAGGGAUGGGAAUCGAACACACAGUGUUCCGCUUACCGGGCAGAUGCCAUGUCCUUUAGGCUACCCUGGA
This 73-nucleotide transfer RNA is filed under the name Cordylochernes scorpioides. RNAcentral describes it as "tRNA-Thr". The record is from RNAcentral. Lineage: Eukaryota; Metazoa; Arthropoda; Arachnida; Pseudoscorpiones; Chernetidae.